GGUUGAAUUUUGAAUUUUGAAUUUUGAACCGGAUUUAAUUAUGAAAGAAUCUUGUUUUCUGAUGGCUAUCCUUAUUUUUUAAAUUGCAGAGGGAAUACACCGUUUUGCAGCAAAGAGUGUAGACAAGAACAGAUGGAGAUCGAUGAAGCCAGAGAAAAGAAAUUGAAAUCUGGACGAUCUCUUAGAAAAUCGGAUUCAAAGAGCUCUACACCCAACAAAACUGUUCGGACGGGCAUUGUUACGGUGUCGUAAUUACAUCUUUGCUUCUUCUUCUUUUUCUUUUUAUAAAUGAUAAUUGUAUCAUCAUCAAUUUUGAAAAAAAAAAACGAAAAAACAAGAUCGGGACAAGAAGGGAAAAAGAAAAAGGAAACCUUCAAUGGAAUUUUGUAUUUUCGUUUUAUUAUUGGGUAUGAUGUUUGAGAGGAGUGGAUGUUUAUAAGGGGGGGGGGAAUCGGAUGUGCAGUUUUCAUUAAUGGAAAAUGUGCAAAGAUUUAUAAUUUCUGGUAUUCUUGAAAAUUUUGAAGCAUUCAAGUUCCAAAGAUCCCUCUUUUAUUCCUUUCCGACCAAUCUGUAACAACGGGACUACGGGAGAUCAUACCAUUCGAUCUAACAUGUUGUCUCUUUCAUUAAGCAAAUGGAUAUAUAAUUUUUUAAGGGGUAUAAGGGUAAGAAGGGAGAAAAAAACCUGAUUGAUCAGUAUUUGCUUAAUUCAAUGAAUGUGGACAUGGGUGAACAGUAUAUUGAGUGUUGGGCAAUAGCUUUUAAGGGGGAAAAUCAUAUUUUACCGAUUUCCUGUAAAUUUCGGACCAGAGUUGGAGCUGGAAAGAACUUUUUGUUUUAUUCUGUACUGAAUGGACCCUCCCUGAUUGAAUCGUGUUGUUUCCAUGAUGGUUCGAAGGCAUCUCUUCUUUAGCAAAUUACAAAUGGAAUAAAUUAGCUUCAUUUUUCCAUAGCAAUAGACGAAAUUAAAUAUCGUCAAGAACUCAAGAAAAACACAACUUGUCGAGCAGAGAGAUGGAAAUAUUUUCUAGGCUCCCAAACAGAGGAGGAGGGCAUACAUGACACCUGCAAGCCAUUCUUCGUCUUUGUUCCGUUCUUCUAGUUCAAAUGAUUUGUUUUAUUUAUUUUUUUAAUAUCAAUAAUUGGCUUUCUGAGUCCAAAAAAUUGUGGCGAUUCAUCUUUGUUUAAUCAUCAUAAGCCCAAAACAUAGCCCAUUUAUACUCCAUGGAUAUAUGCUUUUGUCCUAAAAGAAAUUGUGACAAUGGAGAAAACCUGGAAAUAGGAAGUUAAUUAAUGGGACAUAAUAGAAAUUAUCGGUCAAGUUUUUGGUAGUCCCUGCACUACUCCAUAUGCACAUGCUAGUUGGAAUCUAAAUUCGUUAAUUGUUUGAAUUGAUUAAGUUGAAUCUAAAGUGGUUAUUUACGUAGUUUGAUUUCUUUAAACACAAUAAGUAAUUUCACUAUCUUUUGACCCACAAAAAUAAAAGUGAAUCACGCUUCACUCCUAGUAUAAAGACCUCACCUUUGUACUUAAAAAUUAAAACUCACCUCUAAACUUUUCUCUUGAGAAUUUAGAUUGUAAGCACAAUCUUUUUGCACUUCAAUUGCACUCAAAAGUACAUUCUUCAAUGAAUCAGAUAGUACAUAAAACUAUACAAGUUUCUCACAUAUAUAGAUGUUUAAGACUUGAUAAUAUACUAGAGAUCAAGUACAAUUCAAUCCUUAUUAAAUAGCAAAAUAUAAUAUAUUGAUAAACUGCAAUGUAAAGUAGAAUCCCUGGAGAUAUGUCUUCAAUGUAAUCCCAAUCUAAUCUCCAUAUUUUAAAGGAUUCGAUUGCUUAAUCCGAUUCAAUCAAAUCUUCAAAAAUUUGUUGCUCCACAAUAUGAAUCUUCAAAUAUGAGCCAAAUACACAUUGAAAAGAUUUCCAAUUCCAAAUAUGACAAGUUAUGUUGCCCAUCGAAGUGCUAGAUUGAAGUGGCCACUUCCACUAGUCUUUUGACAUCCACUUCAAAAACACUUGCCUCAACAAUAAAACAUCUAUCAAUGUUGAUCAAGCCUUCCAUAUUUUGAGCACAAUUGAUAAUUUUUGCUUCACAAGAUAAGUUUUAAUCUAUCUUGGUAUGCUUAAAUCUCAUCAAAUCAAUUAUAUUUAAUAUAAGGAUACACAAGAUUAUAAAGUCAACUUAUAUCUUCUUGGAUUGUAUAUCUCAGUGUACAAGGUAAGUAAAUAACAUAAGAAUCCUUGAAAAGUAAUCUUGCUUUAUUCAAUCUCUUCUCUAGUGAUAAACAUAAGAUUGGCUGCAUAAAAUCCUCAAAAAGAGAUAAACAAAUCAUCAAAAUAUUUUGAUCAAACAUGCCAACAAAUAAGACAAAUUAUAUGUUUCACGCAACUAUGAUGAAAAUGAUCAUUUCCAUCAACCACUUCAAAAAUUUACCUCAACAUAUAUAUAUAGAUAGAUUGAUAACCUUUUAAAAUUUAACAUCUAAAUACUAUAUUUUAAUUUUGAGAGUAAAAAUCUACCUUCCACCCAAUUUUGCCAUUAGUUGGUUACCCAUCAACAUUUAUAGUUUUUAUGAAUUUGGUGCUUAUUCUUUAAAAAUUAUGUAAAUAAAAUAAAAAAGGGUUCAUAUUUUUUUAUAAAAAUUAAAAGUUUAAAUUCUUAUGGGUUGCUUUUCAGAUGGAGACCAAUCAUCAAGCUGAUUGUUGAAAACCCAAAGUCCAUCUAUGGUAGCAAUACCAUAAAAUGGCUAUGAACUUGUGAAUGAAAGAAAAUAAGAAGCAAGCGAGUGAACAUGGAAUAGUGACACAAAGUCAUGUAUUUUUAGGCAUUUCACAUCUUCCAUGGUUGGAGAAUGAGGGUAUAAUGGCUUGGAAUGCGAAUAUGGUGUCGAUCGAAGUAGGUUCUCGAGGUUGGCUGAAAAUGAUAUAGGGCCUUGUAGGCGGAUUAUGGAAGAGCUGCUUCGGUGAUUGCCGUAGGUGAGCUAUUGAAGUAAACUUGUGUUAUGGGAUAAUUUUUUUUUUUUUUUGGUUAUGCCUUUUAUAUAUACAUCAAACGAAUUUUAAUUGGGCAUUGGCCGAAUGUAAGGCGGGCGAGCAGUGACUUUGACCCUAAUAAAAAAUAAAAUUGUCUUUUAAGUCUUAUUAAAAUUUUAAAAAAAUUAUAAAUUAAUAUAAUGAUAAAAAUAUAUUUUUAUCUCUAAAAAAUUUAUAAUUCAAAAUCGACCCUCUUGAAUUGAUGUUCUGGCUUCGCUGCUACUUUGAAGAUAAUUUUAGUGAAAUUUGAGUAUAAAUUUAUUAUUUCUUAAAAUUAUAUUUUUUAUUGAAAAUAUGAAGAUAUUUAAUUUUUUAUUUUUGGGUUAAUAUAUAUUUGCCUCCUGAACUAUGGUAGCCUCAUAUCAUGAUACAUGACAAGCCCUAACAAAAAAAUUUAAAAAUAUUUUACCUUUAAAAUGAAUCUGGACAUAUGAUUGUCCAAAUUCAUUUAACUUGGAUAACCAUUUGCUUAAAUUCAUUUUGAACAGAUUUUUUUAGUAAACUUUAUAUGUUUUUAAUUUUUUAUAUUAUUAUUUUGAAAUUAAAGAUACAUAAAAUAUAUAUUUUUAAAAAAUAUAUAAAUUUAUAACUUUUUUUAGGUGAAUAUGAACAAAUUAUUGUUCAGAUUUCAAUUUGUACAAGUACAAAAAUAAGAGACGGAGGGUCAGAAAGGAAUAAGAGGAUAAGCUAAUUAAGAGAGAGAAAUAAUUUGCUUAGAGUAAUUUUAAAGUUUUUAAGAGUUGGUCCAUUCAUCAUUGUUAAAGGAGUAUUUAUAGGAGAGGUUCUCUUGUCUACAAAUGUGAUGUGGUAGGAUAAAUAUUCAGUCCCACAAAAUGUGUAAAUGAUAUUCAUGGGCGUGAAGGAUGUGCACCAUGGGAUCCCAUUCUAUUAUGCAUUCAAUCAAUACGAGUUUAUUACGCCUAAAAGUGCGUGCCUUAGAAACGGCUCAUCAUAUUAUCAAUGAGUGAGAGAUUUGUCAGGAGUACUUGUCUAAUAGAUGAUCUUGAUAAUGAAAGGAUAUUCAAAUUCCUAUUGACUUAUUUCCAAUAUUUUAUCAUAACGCUUAUUUUGUAAUAGAAACAAUCCAUCUAGAAUACCCGCCUUGACCAAACCGUCUAGUGAUUUUUGAGUGUAACAUUAGCUUGUAGACAAAUUUUUUGUAGUUGAGUUCAUUGAACCGUAAUAAAUGCACGCUCGUAAAUAUAUGAAAUAAUGUAGAGAAGAGAAUCUUUUGGUGAUUAAAAUACUUAAAAAUAAUAUUGAUGGGUGACGUAAACCACAUUUAAGUAAUUGAAAAACAAUGUUGCUUACGAGACACACGCACAUCCAACCAUUCACCCUUCUUCACCAUUAUUUUUAAUUUGAUUUGAUUCUUAUGCAUAAUCAACAGACCGUGACACAAAAUCACCCACUUUUAUUAGUAUAUUUAUAAAAACAACUUCGGCAGAAAGUAAAAAAGAUAAAACCAAACCGCUUUGAUCUAACACCUCUCCCAUUUGUUUGGGCUACAUAGUCUUACUGUAGUCCCUGUACUACCUGAGUGCACCAACUCAGAAUCCUAGCUAUCACCUCCGUUUGCUUUAUAUAUAGCUGCCAAGCUUUAACGCCCAUCAAACUCACUCUUUUAUUCUCUUCCACCCUUUUUCAGCUACCAGCGCCGCCCUCAGCUCCGGCCAUACUUUACGAAAUUCAACAAGUAGCAAGCAGUUAAUAUGUCGGGUUAUUAUUAUCACUCAGGGUGCCCAGAUCAGUACGGGGCUCACUAUCUGGAUGCCUGCUCCGUUUGCGGCAAAUCGCUUCAUAAUUCCGAUAUUUUCAUGUACAGGUUGGUUUGCUCUUUAGUAUUGAUUUUAAAAUUCGAAUCGUGUUUGAGUAUGAAAUAAUUUUGUUUCCUGAUGGGUAUUUUUUAAAUUGCAGAGGGAAUACACCGUUUUGCAGCAAAGAGUGUAGACAAGAACAGAUGGAGAUGGAUGAAGCCAGAGAAAAGAAGUUGAAAUUUGGUAGAUCACAUAGGAAAUCGGAUUCCAAGACCUCUACACCCAACAAAACUGUUCGGAC
Molecule: long non-coding RNA, 5091 nt
Filed under: Gossypium barbadense (sea-island cotton)
Lineage: Eukaryota; Viridiplantae; Streptophyta; Magnoliopsida; Malvales; Malvaceae
Description: long non-coding RNA (GBAR_LNC018316)
Source: RNAcentral